CCUACGGGGGGUAGCAGUGAGGAAUAUUGGUCAAUGGGCGCGAGCCUGAACCAGCCAAGUCGCGUGAGGGAUGACGGCCCUACGGGUUGUAAACCUCUUUUGCCGGGGAGCAACGGGCGUCACGUGUGGCGCCACUGAGAGUACCCGGAGAAAAAGCACGGGAUAAUUCCGUGCCAGCAGCCGCGGUAAUACGGAGGAUGCGAGCGUAAUCCGUAUUUUUGGGGUUUAGGGGGUGCGUAGGCGGAUCGUUAAGUCAGUGGUCAAAUUGAGGGGCUCAACCCCUUCCCGCCAUUGAAACUGGCGCUCUUGAGUGGAAGAGAGGUAUGCGGAAUGCGUGGUGUAGCGGUGAAAUGCAUAGAUAUCACGCAGAACCCCGAUUGCGAAGGCAGCAUGCCGGCUUCCGACUGACGCUGAAGCACGAAAGCGUGGGGAUCGAACAGGAUUAGAUACCCCAGUAGUC
Molecule: ribosomal RNA, 460 nt
Filed under: uncultured bacterium
Lineage: Bacteria
Description: partial 16S ribosomal RNA
Rfam family: Bacterial small subunit ribosomal RNA
Source: RNAcentral